Argentina anserina (silverweed cinquefoil) is the source of this 3596-nucleotide RNA transcript. It is a transcript of the gene named pentatricopeptide repeat-containing protein At4g20090, with no coding region annotated. The record is from RefSeq and is a predicted model, not a curated record. NCBI's taxonomy places the organism in Eukaryota, Viridiplantae, Streptophyta, Magnoliopsida, Rosales, Rosaceae. The transcript has 2 exons.
GAAGCUCUCUAUUGAGCUCAAAAAACCACCAAAGAUCACACCUUUCAAUCUCCACACCCUUCACCCACUUCUCUAUGAGACUUGGGUUCUCUCUGAAAUGCCCCAAAACCCAACUUCUCUGAUUUUCAAACACCCUUAAACCCCUCUCUCUUCUAAAACCCUAUGCCAAAAUGCCCAACUCACUACUCAAAGCUCCUCACUUUCUCACUCCACAAACGCCUCAACAAUCACACCCUCUUCCCAAUUCACCUCUCCCUCCAAACCCACUUCUCAUCUCUCUCAAACCCAUCAAGCAAUGAAGACCCAGAACCAGAGAGCCCCCCAAUUUCUGAGGAAAUCUUCAGGAAAGGUCCCAACUUUGGGUCCUACAAGUCAGGUGAUUCAACUUUCUACUCUCUCAUUGAGAACUAUGCGAGUCUUGGGGACUUUGGGUCCCUGGAGAAGGUUCUGGAUCGAAUGAAACGCGAAAGGAGAGUCUUUGUUGAGAGGAGUUUCAUUGCUGUGUUUAGAGCUUUUGGGAAAGCACAUUUACCCAAUAAAGCUGUUGACUUGUUUCAUAGAAUGGUAGAUGAGUUUCAGUGUAGGAGGACUGUUAAGUCUUUUAAUUCGGUUCUUAAUGUUAUUGUACAGGAGGGUCAUUAUGCACAUGCAUUGGAGUUUUAUGACCAUGUUGUUGGUGAUAAAAGCAUGAAUAUUUCGCCGAAUGUGCUGAGUUAUAAUUUGAUUAUUAAGGCAAUGUGUAGGUUUGGAUUGGUUGAUAAGGCUGUCGAGAAGUUUAGGGAAAUGCCGGUUAGGGACUGUGCUCCUGAUGUGUUUACGUAUGGUACAUUGAUGGAUGGGUUGUGCAAGGUGAAUAGGAUUGAUGAGGCGGUGUUUUUGUUGGAUGAGAUGCAGAUGGAGGGCUGCUCACCGAGUCCUGCGACGUUCAAUGUGUUGAUUGAUGCAGUGUGCAAGAAGGGUGACUUAGGGCGUGCGGCUAAGCUUGUUGAUAACAUGUUUCUUAAGGGGUGUGUUCCGAAUGAAGUGACUUAUAACACACUUAUACACGGUUUGUGUCUCCAGGGGAAGUUAGAGAAGGCUGUUAGUCUUUUGGAUAGAAUGGUUUCAUAUAAAUGUGUGCCCAAUGAUGUCACCUAUGGGACAAUCAUCAAUGGUCUUGUUAAGCAAGGACGAUCUCUUGAUGGAGCUCGAGUGUUGGUAUCUAUGGAGGAAAGAGGGCGUCGUGCAAAUGAGUAUGUUUAUUCAGUUCUUGUUAGUGGAUUGUUCAAGGAGGGAAAAUCUGAAGAGGCAAUGAAAUUGUGGAAGGAGAUGAUGGAAAAGGGAUGUAAACCAAACACUGUGGUAUAUAGUGCCCUUAUAGAUGGUCUUUGUUUAGAUGGAAAACCUGAUGAAGCUAAGGAAGUAUUCUGUGAGAUGGUGCAUAAUGGUUGCAUGCCCAAUUCCUACACUUACAGUUCCUUAAUGAGGGGUUUCUUCCGGACAGGUCAGAGUCAUAAAGCGAUUCUUUUGUGGAAAGAAAUGGCGGACAAUAAUGUUAUACGAAAUGAAGUUUGUUACAGUGUCAUAAUUGAUGGUCUUUGCAAGGAGGGGAAAGUCAAAGAGGCCUUGAUGGUGUGGAAGCAGAUGCUUGCCAGAGGAUAUAAACUAGAUGUCGUGGCUUAUAGUUCAAUGAUUCAUGGCCUUUGCAACGAUGGUUUGGUUGAGCAGGGGUUGAAACUUUUUAAUGACAUGCUCUCUCAGGAACUUGAAUGUCAGCCUGAUGUCAUCACUUAUAACAUACUUUUGAAUGCUCUCUGCCAUCAGCAUACCAUCUCACGUGCCAUUGAUCUUUUAAACAGUAUGCUGGAUAAGGGUUGUGAUCCUGACUUGGUUACUUGUGACAUCUUCCUAAAAACUUUGGGGGAGAAGCUCGACCCACCUCAAGAUGGGAGAGAAUUCCUAAAUGAGCUAGUUGUCCGGCUAUUUAAACGGCAGAGGACAAUAGGUGCUUCCAGGAUUGUUGAACUGAUGCUGAAAACGUUUUUGCCUCCGACAGCAUGUACCUGGACAAUAGUCGUACAAGAGCUUUGCAAGCCUAAGAAGGUUAGAGAAGCCAUUGACAAAUGUUGGAGCAGCCUAUGUUGCUAAUUUAUGAGUAAGGCCUCAUAUUUUUUCUUUUCGAAACAUUAGACCAUUGAUCAUGCUCUAUUGUUUGGCAUGAUGUAUGCUUGCUUAUAGGGUUGGCAUGUUACUCCAUUUUUCUUUUGGUGUUUAAAGACAACUAUACAAAGGAAAGCUAGCUGCAUGAUUUAGUGUAUCUUAAAACCAAUGGAUUGUUUUAUUACACAACCAUUUAUUGAAAAACUACUGGUGAAAUGAAAUGGAAAAGGGAAAAUUCCAAAAAACUGAGGUCUAUUGUUGAUCGAAAGAUUAAUGAUAUAUGUCAUCCAGCAGAAUAGGAUUAGUGCCAUCAACAUUCUUUUUUUCUUUUUUUUUUUGGUCUGAGCCAUCAACAUUCUUUACUUUUACUUUCUACCAAUUUGUUCUCGUAUGAAACAUUUCUCAAAAAUUGGAUUUGAUGAAGAUGCUUUACAGUUGGCACAUUUGUGAACAUUGAUGAGUGGAACUUCUGUUAUAUCACUUAUAUGAAAUGUUCAAAUGAUCUAAAGAGGUCCUUCAAUCCAGUCUCAGAAACAGCAUACAUCAGAUGAUACAGCAUAACCUGUGACAGAUAAAGUAAACAGCAUACCAGGGAAAAUUGACAUUUGUGUUGCUAGGAUAAUCAAUUUGUAUUCAGGUACGGAGACAGAAACUGUCAUCUUAUUAUUAUGAUCGUUAUAUUUUUUUUUGAACCUAUGAUUACUUCUUCCUUUGUCUACGAGUACAUAAGAUGUGAAUUUGUAGCUGCUAGAAAGAUGGAAACAACUUUUAUAAUCUAACAACCAUAGAUACACCGAAAAUCAGCCCUCUACAAUUUUACUAGCACAAGAAGUACAGUAAGUCACCUAAGCAACUUUAGCUUCUAUUGAUAUGUGCUGAAAUUUCUUCUUGAUGGUGUGAUUGAUAAAAACAAAUGAAACUCCGACUCCCUGUGUAGAUAGUAGGUGUUAGUACAAGCGUAGGAUCCUUCAGCUCUAAGUGCUAGUACUCCUAAACGUUCUGUAUGUAGCAGAGCUCUACAAAGAAGUGAACUAGGUAAACAAGAGCAAACAAACUCUUCAAAAAAAAAAGAGAAGAAGAAGAGAUAAUGCAGUUAGGAUAAAAGAGCUCAGGACCACUCUAAUAGAAAAAUCAAAUCUGAUUCCCAAAGUCUACCCAAUAACAAAGACUACUUCAAUCCAAAUAUGAGUUCAUUCAACUCGUUUUCCAGAUACCUGUCGCUAACAUAAACCUAGGAGUGAGCCAAGAUACAUAACUGAAUUUAUAAUACUUAGAUGCAAUCCAAAAAUGAUUUGGAGAUCUGCCCUUCACCACAACUUCUUGAACUUGGUUUAGCAGCUCAGGACUCAGUUCUAAGCUCUUUGUAGAGUGCAUAUACUAGCAAACAAAAUCUGAGCGAACCCAGCAUACUAGUGCUUCUUCUCGCAAAUGUGGAGGCCAUGAACCUAGACUUGUAA